CAAACUCUCCCUUAAACUCAUUAGCAGAUUGCUCACAUAUGACUUGGCCCUUGGAGUUGACCUCUGGUCCAAUUACCCAGGGGUUAGUUCUUCCAUAGGCUUCUUUAUGAAUAACUGGCUGAGAAAUGUCCAUGUAGUGUCCAACUCCUACAAGAUGUUCUCAGCAGGCACAAAGCAAGUGAAGAUCCAUAAUGGAUUUAGACCAACAUCAAAGGAUCAGUUCAUACAUGAACACACUGCAUCCUAUAGAGAAACCUAAAGCAAUCAAGGGCACAGAACAAUACCUUGAAGGAAGAGUUCAGAAUGCUGUUUUGCCGGGGCGAGUCUUAAGGUGGGAGGAAGGAGGCUUCAUUUCCCUCCUAAUUGUCGCUGCUGCUUUUGAUUUGCUUCCUGCUUCCCCCACCUUUUAAAAUGCUACAUCAUGAGUAUCUUCCU
Molecule: long non-coding RNA, 435 nt
Filed under: Mus spicilegus (steppe mouse)
Lineage: Eukaryota; Metazoa; Chordata; Mammalia; Rodentia; Muridae
Description: lncRNA (ENSMSIG00000015369.1)
Source: RNAcentral